RNAcentral lists this ribosomal RNA (253 nucleotides) under uncultured bacterium. RNAcentral's name for it is "partial 16S ribosomal RNA". It matches the Rfam family "Bacterial small subunit ribosomal RNA", at positions 524 to 776 of the family's 1533-position model. The record is from RNAcentral.
UACGGAGGGUGCAAGCGUUAUCCGGAUUCACUGGGUUUAAAGGGUGCGUAGGUGGAUUAGUAAGUCAGUGGUGAAAUCUCCGGGCUUAACCCGGAAACUGCCAUUGAUACUAUUAGUCCUGAAUACCGUGGAGGUCAGCGGAAUAUGUCAUGUAGCGGCGAAAUGCUUAGAUAUGACAUAGAACACCAAUUGCGAAGGCAGCUGGCUACACGAGCAUUGACACUCAGGCACGAAAGCGUGGGGAUCAAACAGG